AUUGAACGCUGGCGGCAUGCCUAACACAUGCAAGUCGAACGGCAGCACAGUCUAGUUUACUAGAUGGGUGGCAAGUGGCGGACGGGUGAGUAAUGCGCAGGAAUAUGCCUUAAAGUGGGGGACAACUUGGGGAAACUCAAGCUAAUACCGCAUAAUCUCUUCGGAGAAAAGCUGGGGACCUUCGGGCCUGGCGCUUUAAGAUUAGCCUGCGUCCGAUUAGCUAGUUGGUAGGGUAAAGGCCUACCAAGGCGACGAUCGGUAGCUGGUCUGAGAGGAUGACCAGCCACACUGGAACUGAGACACGGUCCAGACUCCUACGGGAGGCAGCAGUGGGGAAUAUUGGACAAUGGGGGAAACCCUGAUCCAGCAAUGCCGCGUGUGUGAAGAAGGCCUUAGGGUUGUAAAGCACUUUCAGUGGGGAGGAGGGUUAUUAGGUUAAGAGCCAGAUAAUUGGACGUUACCCACAGAAGAAGCACCGGCUAACUCCGUGCC
This 492-nucleotide ribosomal RNA is filed under the name uncultured Gammaproteobacteria bacterium. Its description in RNAcentral is "bacterial SSU rRNA". It matches the Rfam family "Bacterial small subunit ribosomal RNA", at positions 30 to 509 of the family's 1533-position model. Lineage: Bacteria; Pseudomonadati; Pseudomonadota; Gammaproteobacteria. The record is from RNAcentral.